CAAGAUCAAGUAGACCACUCCGACCCUCCCGAAGCUUCUCCGAAGUGAUACAUCGAUUCCUACUACUGAUCUGCCGAAGUAUCCCACCUCCGAGGUCGGGAUCAGGUGGACCCCGGUUAGAAGAUCCGCCGCCAAUUUAAGAUUUGUUCUGCAUAUAAGGUUUAAAUUGAUUUGACGUCCCCAUGAGGCUAUUUGAUGUGA
This 201-nucleotide long non-coding RNA is filed under the name Olea europaea (common olive). RNAcentral describes it as "long non-coding RNA (OEUR_LNC002941)". Lineage: Eukaryota; Viridiplantae; Streptophyta; Magnoliopsida; Lamiales; Oleaceae. The record is from RNAcentral.